GAUCACAGUGGCAUCAACAGCGGUCUCGAGGUCUACCGGAGAAGAAGAGGGGGAAGAAACAGUAAAUACAUAGCAAGUAAGAGCAUAACAUGACAACAGGCAAAGCUAGACGUGUUCUAACGCGGUGCUAGGUGAUACUGGCGAAGGGGAAAACAUCCGGGAAAGUUUUCCCGGUUCCGGACGUUUGUCAGACAGAUGAACCGGAGGGGAAAAGUUCAACGUUUGCUAUGCUAGGGACGUGUGGCAUACAAACUGAUCGUGUAUCCGGGUUUGUCUCGAAAUUCUGAGCAACUUUCAUGUAGAAAACUUUUUCAUUCGAGUUACGGAUUAUUUUAUAUGAUUUUUUUCGAAGUUUUAUUGAAUUCAUGGAAUUUUUAUUAAAUCUAAAAUGAGGUUAUUGCAUCAGCAUGACGUCAUCAGGGUCAACAGUCAACCUUGACUAGGUUGACUGGUCAAAAAGAGCAGUGGGGCCCAUCUGUCAUAGUCAUCUCAGCUAACCUAAUAGAUUAGUUAACUAAACGAGGUGGUUAAGCUGAUUAAUUCUAAUUAGACCUAAUUAAACCAAAUAAUUAAGUUAAUUGUUUUUAUUAAAUUAUUUUUCUUUCUUUUUUAUAUAAAACAGGGGAGAGGGCCCCAGCUGCCAGUGGCACAAAAGCCACUGGAGCGGGCUUAACAGGCGCGGGCGGGGGGUGCCCGUCGGGGCAUACUCGGGCGACGGCCGCGGCCGUUCUGGAUGCGGGGGCGCCGGCGCGGUGCAGUGCAGCCAAGGGGCGCGGCCGGAGCAGACGCGACGGGGAGGAGGGGACUAGGCGGCACCGGCAGCGGUCGGUGGCAGGGCCGGCGAGCGGUGGCCGGUGCGGGCGUGUGCAGCGUUGAGCGCGGCGGGAGCACGCGACACACACACAACGCGAGGCCGUGGCUGGUGGAGUUCGCAAACGGGGUGAGCAGGGGACCCCAAGGGGGCGACCAACGCGGGGUCAGGGAGCAGCGUGCACGUGACUAGGGGCAUGGAAGCACGACGAAACCAUGGCGAACGCGAGCUGCGGUGGCUCCGGGCGCGGGUGAUAACGGCCUAUGGCGGGGAGAAUGAGAGAGAGGGUUUGACGUUCACCGAGGAGCCGGUCGUGGAGGGCAGCGGGCUCGGGGAGGCCUGCCGGAGUCGGAGUAGUCAACGAAGUCCGGCGAGACAGAGGAGGAAGAAGACGGCGGUGCGGGCGCUCCGGUCGCUCCCGGCCACCGCGCGUGGUCGGAGUUGGGGGAGAGGGCGAGCGGAGCUUGCGGACUUGACAGAUGGAUGCGGGGGCGUUGAUGGCCGCGGUGGAGCGCGGGGAACGGCGGCGACCACGCUCGGGAGGAGGAGAUCUGGAGGAGGGGGAGGCCAGAGGGAGAGGGGAGCAAGUGGGCGUGGGAGAGGGGAUCGAGGGGGCGAGGGGGAGGAACGAGGAGGCAUGGGGUGGCCUUAUCCCCUCGUCGAUGGGGACGGCAAGGCGGUCCGGGG
This 1498-nucleotide long non-coding RNA is filed under the name Triticum aestivum (bread wheat). Its description in RNAcentral is "long non-coding RNA (TAES_LNC022574)". The record is from RNAcentral. Lineage: Eukaryota; Viridiplantae; Streptophyta; Magnoliopsida; Poales; Poaceae.